GAUGAACGCUGGCGGUGUGCCUAACACAUGCAAGUCGAGCGGCAGCGCGGGGUGCUUGCACCCUGUCGGCGAGCGGCGGACGGCUGAGUAACGCGUGGGAACGUGCCCCAAAGUGAGGAAUAACUGCCCGAAAGGGUAGCUAAUACCGCAUAUUAUCUUCGGAUCAAAGGAUUUAUCCGCUUUGGGAGCGGCUCGCGUCGGAUUAGGUAGUUGGUGAGGUAAUGGCUCACCAAGCCGACGAUCCGUAGCUGGUCUGAGAGGAUGACCAGCCAGACUGGAACUGAGACACGGUCCAGACUCCUACGGGAGGCAGCAGUGAGGAAUCUUCCACAAUGGGCGAAAGCCUGAUGGAGCAACGCCGCGUGCAGGACGAAGGCCUUCGGGUUGUAAACUGCUUUUAUAAGUGAGGAAUAUGACGGUAACUUAUGAAUAAGGAUCGGCUAACUACGUG
This 451-nucleotide ribosomal RNA is filed under the name uncultured bacterium. RNAcentral's name for it is "partial 16S ribosomal RNA". It matches the Rfam family "Bacterial small subunit ribosomal RNA", at positions 28 to 507 of the family's 1533-position model. The record is from RNAcentral.